GUGAAUCAUCAAAUUUUUGAACGCAAAUUGCACUUUCUGGUAUUCCGGAAAGUAUGCCUGUUUGAGGGUCAGUUAAAUAAAAAUCGGUGUUGUGGCUGCCUUUCGUGGUGACGCGUCGGAAUUGGGUCGUGUUACCUUCGGUUAUGUGACUUAUAAGUUUUGCAUGAUUUUCGAACGAAUUGAAACCGCUGA
Molecule: unclassified non-coding RNA, 192 nt
Filed under: Glomus sp.
Lineage: Eukaryota; Fungi; Glomeromycota; Glomeromycetes; Glomerales; Glomeraceae
Description: partial contains 5.8S ribosomal RNA and internal transcribed spacer 2
Rfam family: 5.8S ribosomal RNA (bases 1-71)
Source: RNAcentral